GGGUUGUGAGGUUAAGCGAACAAGCGUACACGGUGGAUGCCCUGGCAGUCAGAGGCGAUGAAGGACGUGCUAAUCUGCGAAAAGCGCCGGUAAGGUGAUAUGAACCGUUAUAACCGGCGAUGUCCGAAUGGGGAAACCCGGUGCACUUCGGUGCAUCAUCGUUAGCUGAAUACAUAGGCUAACGAGGCGAACCGGGGGAACUGAAACAUCUAAGUACCCCGAGGAAAAGAAAUCAACCGAGAUUCCCCCAGUAGCGGCGAGCGAACGGGGAACAGCCCAGAGCCUGAAUCAGCUUGUGUGUCAGUGGAACGGUCUGGAAAGGCCGGCGAUACAGGGUGACAGCCCCGUACACGAAGGCACACAGGCUGUGAGCUCGAUGAGUAGGGCGGGACACGUGAUAUCCUGUCUGAAGAUGGGGGGACCAUCCUCCAAGGCUAAAUACUCCUGACUGACCGAUAGUGAACCAGUACCGUGAGGGAAAGGCGAAAAGAACCCCGGCGAGGGGAGUGAAACAGAACCUGAAACCGUGUACGUACAAGCAGUGGGAGCCUUCGUAAGAGGGUGACUGCGUACCUUUUGUAUAAUGGGUCAGCGACUUAUAUUCUGUAGCAAGGUUAACCGUAUAGGGGAGCCGAAGGGAAACCGAGUCUUAACCGGGCGUUAAGUUGCAGGGUAUAGACCCGAAACCCGGUGAUCUAGCCAUGGGCAGGUUGAAGGUUGGGUAACACUAACUGGAGGACCGAACCGACUAAUGUUGAAAAAUUAGCGGAUGACCUGUGGCUGGGGGUGAAAGGCCAAUCAAACCGGGAGAUAGCUGGUUCUCCCCGAAAGCUAUUUAGGUAGCGCCUCGUGAACUCAUCUCCGGGGGUAGAGCACUGUUUCGGCUAGGGGGCCAUCCCGGCUUACCAACCCGAUGCAAACUGCGAAUACCGGAGAAUGUUAUCACGGGAGACACACGGCGGGUGCUAACGUCCGUCGUGAAGAGGGAAACAACCCAGACCGCCAGCUAAGGUCCCAAAGUCAUGGUUAAGUGGGAAACGAUGUGGGAAGGCCCAGACAGCCAGGAUGUUGGCUUAGAAGCAGCCAUCAUUUAAAGAAAGCGUAAUAGCUCACUGGUCGAGUCGGCCUGCGCGGAAGAUGUAACGGGGCUAAACCAUGCACCGAAGCUGCGGCAGCGACACUAUGUGUUGUUGGGUAGGGGAGCGUUCUGUAAGCCUGUGAAGGUGUGCUGUGAGGCAUGCUGGAGGUAUCAGAAGUGCGAAUGCUGACAUAAGUAACGAUAAAGCGGGUGAAAAGCCCGCUCGCCGGAAGACCAAGGGUUCCUGUCCAACGUUAAUCGGGGCAGGGUGAGUCGACCCCUAAGGCGAGGCCGAAAGGCGUAGUCGAUGGGAAACAGGUUAAUAUUCCUGUACUUGGUGUUACUGCGAAGGGGGGACGGAGAAGGCUAUGUCGGCCGGGCGACGGUUGUCCCGGUUUAAGCGUGUAGGCUGACUUUCCAGGCAAAUCCGGAAGGUUAAGGCUGAGGCGUGAUGACGAGGCACCACGGUGCUGAAGUGACAAAUGCCCUGCUUCCAGGAAAAGCCUCUAAGCAUCAGGUAACAUCAAAUCGUACCCCAAACCGACACAGGUGGUCAGGUAGAGAAUACCAAGGCGCUUGAGAGAACUCGGGUGAAGGAACUAGGCAAAAUGGUGCCGUAACUUCGGGAGAAGGCACGCUGACAUGUAGGUGAAGCCCCUGCGGGUGGAGCUGAAGUCAGUCGAAGAUACCAGCUGGCUGCAACUGUUUAUUAAAAACACAGCACUGUGCAAACACGAAAGUGGACGUAUACGGUGUGACGCCUGCCCGGUGCCGGAAGGUUAAUUGAUGGGGUUAUCGCAAGAGAAGCUCCUGAUCGAAGCCCCGGUAAACGGCGGCCGUAACUAUAACGGUCCUAAGGUAGCGAAAUUCCUUGUCGGGUAAGUUCCGACCUGCACGAAUGGCGUAAUGAUGGCCAGGCUGUCUCCACCCGAGACUCAGUGAAAUUGAACUCGCUGUGAAGAUGCAGUGUACCCGCGGCAAGACGGAAAGACCCCGUGAACCUUUACUACAGCUUGACACUGAACAUUGAGCCUUGAUGUGUAGGAUAGGUGGGAGGCUUUGAAGCGUGGACGCCAGUCUGCGUGGAGCCAACCUUGAAAUACCACCCUUUAAUGUUUGAUGUUCUAACCUGGCGCCGUGAUCCGGCGUGGGGACAGUGUCUGGUGGGUAGUUUGACUGGGGCGGUCUCCUCCCAAAGUGUAACGGAGGAGCACGAAGGUCAGCUAAUCCUGGUCGGACAUCAGGAGGUUAGUGCAAUGGCAUAAGCUGGCUUGACUGCGAGAGUGACGGCUCGAGCAGGUGCGAAAGCAGGUCAUAGUGAUCCGGUGGUUCUGUAUGGAAGGGCCAUCGCUCAACGGAUAAAAGGUACUCCGGGGAUAACAGGCUGAUACCGCCCAAGAGUUCAUAUCGACGGCGGUGUUUGGCACCUCGAUGUCGGCUCAUCACAUCCUGGGGCUGAAGUAGGUCCCAAGGGUAUGGCUGUUCGCCAUUUAAAGUGGUACGCGAGCUGGGUUUAGAACGUCGUGAGACAGUUCGGUCCCUAUCUGCCGUGGGCGCUGGAGAAUUGAGGGGGGCUGCUCCCAGUACGAGAGGACCGGAGUGGACGCAUCACUGGUGUUCGGGUUGUCAUGCCAAUGGCACUGCCCGGUAGCUAAAUGCGGAAGAGAUAAGUGCUGAAAGCAUCUAAGCACGAAACUUGCCCCGAGAUGAGUUCUCCCUGAGACUAUAAGUCUCCUGAAGGAACGUUGAAGACGACGACGUUGAUAGGCCGGG
Molecule: ribosomal RNA, 2851 nt
Filed under: Cronobacter sakazakii
Lineage: Bacteria; Pseudomonadati; Pseudomonadota; Gammaproteobacteria; Enterobacterales; Enterobacteriaceae
Description: bacterial LSU rRNA
Rfam family: Bacterial large subunit ribosomal RNA
Source: RNAcentral